UGGGGAAUUUUGCGCAAUGGGCGCAAGCCUGACCCAGCAACGCCGCGUGAGGGAAGAAGGCUUUCGGGUUGUAAACCUCUGUCCUUGGUGACGAAAAAAAUGACGGUAGCCAAGGAGGAAGCCCCGGCUAACUACGUGCCAGCAGCCGCGGUAAUACGUAUGGGGGCGAGCGUUGUCCGGAAUUACUGGGCGUAAAGGGUGCGUAGGUGGCCUUUUAAGUUGGAUGUGAAAUCCCCGAGCUUAACUUGGGUGGUGCAUCUAUACUGGAGGGCUAGAGUGCAGGAGAGGAAAGCGGAAUUCCUAGUGUAGCGGUGAAAUGCGUAGAUAUUAGGAGGAACACCAGUGGCGAAGGCGGCUUUCUGGACUGUAACUGACACUGAGGCACGAAAGCGUGGGGAGCAAACA
Molecule: ribosomal RNA, 405 nt
Filed under: uncultured prokaryote
Description: bacterial SSU rRNA
Rfam family: Bacterial small subunit ribosomal RNA
Source: RNAcentral